This 64-nucleotide transfer RNA is filed under the name Astrospartus mediterraneus. Its description in RNAcentral is "transfer RNA-Cys". The record is from RNAcentral. Lineage: Eukaryota; Metazoa; Echinodermata; Ophiuroidea; Euryalida; Gorgonocephalidae.
GGUUUUAUAGUGUAAAUAAAGCACUCUAGAUUGCAAAUCUAAAAGAGGAAAUCUCCUAAAACCU